Molecule: ribosomal RNA, 232 nt
Filed under: uncultured bacterium
Lineage: Bacteria
Description: partial 16S ribosomal RNA
Rfam family: Bacterial small subunit ribosomal RNA
Source: RNAcentral
CGUAAAUAAUCUACCCCUGGUGUUUGGGAUAACCAGCCGAAAGGCUGACUAAUACCGGAUAUAUGAUUUUCUGUUGGGAGAAUCAGGAAAGAUGGCCUCUUCAUGAAAGCUAUCGCAUUGGGAUGAGUUUGCGUACCAUUAGCUAGUUGGUGGGGUAAUGGCCCACCAAGGCAACGAUGGUUAGCGGGUCUGAGAGGAUGAUCCGUCACACUGGCACUGGAACACGGGCCAG